AUAUAUAUAUAUAUAUAUAUAUAUAUAUUAAAUUAACUAUAAUAAUUAUAUAUACUAUAAUAAUUAUACCCCCAAAAUAUUAACUAAAAUAAUUAUAAUAAUUAUAUAUACUAUAAUAAUUAUACCCGCAAAAUAUUAACCAUAAUAAUUAUAUAUAUAUAUAUAUAUAUUAAGUUUUAAAUUAAAUUUUAUACCCCUAAAAACUAUAAUAAUUAUACGUACAAAAUAAAUAGAUUUAAAUCUACAUAAUAAAUAUAUAUAUAUACACACACCAUUGAACUUGAUGGAAUACACAAAACUAAUUUCAAUGAUUCAACCGUUAAACUUGUUUGUAUAUGCUUCGAGAUCGCAUUAACAAAAAAUCGUAAAAAACAAACAUUCAGAUAUCAAGUAACAGGAUAAAACUUUUCGAUGGUUUUAAAACAAAAAAGCACGAUUUAACGGCUAUUUUAACUUCGAUUUUAAUGAUUUUUUACAGCUACACUCGUUGACCCUAUAUGAAUACAAUGAAUGAAUUCGAUUUUCAAUUUAAAAUAUUUACACUAGUGGAUACCACAAAAUCUUAUGUUAUACUUAAUGAAAGUAUAAAUAAACUCCAAGUGUUAGUGAAUCUAUCGUUUUAAUGGGAUACGAAUUCUAUGAAACUAAUUUUAACGAUCCAACCGUCAAACUUGUUUGUAUAUGCUUCGAGAUCGCAUACGCCAAAAAUCACAAAAAAAAAACAUUCAGAGAUUAAGUAACGAGACAAAACUUUUCGACGGUUAUAAAACAAAAAAUCACGAUUUAACGGUUAUUUUAACUCCGAUUUUGAUAACUUUUUACAACUACACUCCUUGACCCUAUAUGAAUACAAUGAAUGAAUUCGAUUUUCAAUUUAAAAUAUUUACACUAGUGGAUACCACAAAAUCUUAUGUUAUACUUAAUGAAAGUAUAAAUAAGCUCUAAGUGUUAGUGAAUAUCGUUUUGAUGGGAUACGAAUUCUAUGAAACAAAUUUCAACGAUCCAACCGUCAAACUUGUUUGUAUAUGCUUCGAGAUCGCAUACACCAAAAAUCACAAAAAACAAACAUUCAGAUAUCAAGUAAUUAGACAAAACUUUUCGACGGUUAUAAAAUAAAAAAUCACGAUUUAACGGUUAUUUUAACUCUGAUUUUGAUGAUUUUUUUACAACUACACUCCUUGACCCUAUAUGAAUAAAAUGAAUGAAUUCGCUUUUCAAUUUAAAAUAUUUACACUAGUUGAUACCACAAAAUCUUAUGUUAUACUUAAUGAAAGUAUAAAUAAACUCUAAGUGUUAGUGAAUCUAUCGUUUUGAUGGGAUACGAAUUCUAUGAAACUAAUUUUAACGAUCCAACCGUCAAACUUAUUUGUAUAAGCUUCGAGAUCGCAUACGCCAAAAAUAAUAAAAAACAAACAUUCAGAGAUUAAGUAAUUAGACAAAACAUUUUGACGGUUAUAAAACAAAAAAUCAUGAUUUAACGGUUAUUUUAACUCCGAUUUUGAUGAUUUUUUAUAACUACACUCCUUGAUCCUAUACGAAUACAAUGAAUGAAUUUGAUCGUCAAUUUAAAAUAUUUACACAAGUGAAUACCACAAAAUCUUAUGUUAUACUUAAUGAAAGUAUAAAUAAACUCCAAGUGUUAGUGAAUCUAUCGUUUUGAUGGGAUACAAGUUCUAUGAAACUAAUUUUAACGAUCCAACCGUCAAACUUGUUUGUAUAUGCUUCGAGAUCGCAUACGCCAAAAAUCACAAAAAACAAACAUUCAGAGAUCAAUUAAUUAGACAAAACUUUUCGACGGUUAUAAACUAAAAAAUCACGAUUUAACGGUUAUUUUAACUCCGAUUUUGAUGAUUUUUACAACUACACUCCUUGACCCUAUAUGAAUACAAUGAAUGAAUUCGAUUUUCAAUUUAAAAUAUUUUCACUAGUGGAUACCACAAAAUCUUAUGUUAUACUUAAUGAAAGUAUAACUAAACUCCAAGUGUUAGUGAAUCUAUCGUUUUGAUGGGAUACAAAUUCUAUGAAGCUAAUUUUAACGAUCCAACCGUCAAACUUGUUUGUAUAUGCUUCGAGAUCGUAUACGCCAAAAAUCACAAAAAACAAACAUUCAGAGAUCAAGUAAUUAGACAAAACUUUUCGAAGGUUAUAAAACAAAAAAUCACGAUUUAACAGUUAUUUUUACUCCGAUUUUGAUGAUUUUUACAACUACACUCCUUGACCCUAUAUGAAUACAAUGAAUGAAUUUGAUCGUCAAUUUAAAAUAUUUACACAAGUGGAUACCACAAAAUCUUAUGUUAUACUUAAUGAAAGUAUAAAUAAACUCUAAGUGUUAGUGAAUCUAUCGUUUUAAUGGGAUACGAAUUCUAUGAAACUAAUUUUAACGAUCCAACCGUCAAACGUGUUUGUAUAUACUUCGAGAUCGUAUACACCAAAAAUCACAAAAAACAAACAUUCAGAGAUCAAGUAAUUAGACAAAACUUUUCGACGGUUAUAAAACAAAAAAUCAUGAUUUAACGGUUAUUUUAACUCCGAUUUUGAUGAUUUUUUACAACUACACUCCUUGACCAUAUACAAAUACAAUGAAUGAAUUUGAUCGUCAAUUUAAAAUAUUUACACAAGUGAAUACCACAAAAUCUUAUGUUAUACUUAAUGAAAGUGUAAAUAAAUUCCAAGUGUUAAUGAAUCUAUCGUUUUGAUGGGAUACGAAUUAUAUGAAACUAAUUUUAACGAUCCAACCGUCAAACUUGUUUGUAUAUGCUUCGAGAUCACAACCGUCAAACUUGUUUUUUUAUUAGGCUCUUAUUUUCGAGUGUAGAUGCAGUGCUUAAAUGACAAAUAUGUUUUAAUGUUUUGAAGUAAUAUUUAUGUGGUAAUGUGUGGUAUGUGCAAAUUUAAGAAAAUUUAUAUUUUUCUUAACGGGUCAUAACGGGUUGGGUCACUUUACCUGUUGGGUAAAGUGACCCGACCUGUUAAGGACCCGUUAAGAUAACAGGUGUGAUACGACACGACCCGUUAAGAUAACAGGUGUUACACAAAAACGAUACGAACACGACAGACAUGACUCGUUUGCCAGGCUUAGUUGAACCUAAUAUUUAAUUGACAAUAUUUGAUCGGUUGUUACUCAUGAGAAUCCAUUUGGUGCACUUAAAUAGUAACAGGUAUACAAUUAUUAAUAUCUAAGUCACUUAGUACUACGUUCUAAUGAUAUUUCUCUUCAAUUAUAAAUUAGAAGACUUAUAUUCGAUUAUUUCCAAAAACGAAUUUGAACCCCAUUAUUAUUAGCUCAUUGUGAGGCCUUGUGCAUUCUCCUACUCCUUUGGUGUAAAUAAUAUCAUUUGUUCAAAAAAAAAAAUCAUGUACUUUGAGCAUCUCUAAUGAAAAACUCACAUUUUAAACCUACAUUCUUAUAUUUUUUUUUUGCGAAGACACCUACAUUCUUAUAUUUAGGUUCAAAAAAGAAAGUGAGUUUCAUCAUUUUGAUUUCUCCUCCAAUGUAAAGACUUAUAUAUAUAGGGGUGUAUUAUCCACACAUCCCUUUUUACUUCUCUCACACCCCUUGUGAAUUUCUAUCAUUUGAUCUUCUUCAAUUCAUUCGAUCCGACGACAGAAAAUUAAAAAGGUGUGAGAGAAGCAAAAAGGGAUGUGUGGAUAUCAAACCCCAUAUAU
RNAcentral lists this long non-coding RNA (3666 nucleotides) under Malus domestica (apple). RNAcentral describes it as "long non-coding RNA (MDOM_LNC011171)". Lineage: Eukaryota; Viridiplantae; Streptophyta; Magnoliopsida; Rosales; Rosaceae. The record is from RNAcentral.